This 207-nucleotide ribosomal RNA is filed under the name Triticum aestivum (bread wheat). Its description in RNAcentral is "partial small subunit ribosomal RNA". Lineage: Eukaryota; Viridiplantae; Streptophyta; Magnoliopsida; Poales; Poaceae. The record is from RNAcentral.
AUGCUUCCGCGGCGUGUGCCGGUCCUGGCGCGCGGCUCUCCCCGCGAUGCCGCCGCCGUGGCUGGUGAUCCCCGACGGCGGCUACCCCACCUUGAUGGACCACUUCACGUUUCUCUCCCUCCCGACGCGCCGCUGCGCACACUGGGCACUUCCGGGCUCGCGCUGCGUCGGCUCCAGCGCCGGCUGGCUCGCCCUCCUCGACCCUAG